CCAACGGCUCUUUUCAGAGCCACCCACUUUCUCACCAAAGAGCUG
Non-coding RNA from Mesitornis unicolor (brown roatelo), 45 nucleotides. NCBI's taxonomy places the organism in Eukaryota, Metazoa, Chordata, Aves, Mesitornithiformes, Mesitornithidae. The record is from Rfam.